Molecule: ribosomal RNA, 392 nt
Filed under: uncultured microorganism
Description: bacterial SSU rRNA
Rfam family: Bacterial small subunit ribosomal RNA
Source: RNAcentral
GAGUUUGAUCCUGGCUCAGAGUGAACGCUGGCGGUAGGCCUAACACAUGCAAGUCGAACGGCAGCACAGUAAGAGCUUGCUCUUACGGGUGGCGAGUGGCGGACGGGUGAGGAAUACAUCGGAAUCUACUUUUUCGUGGGGGAUAACGUAGGGAAACUUACGCUAAUACCGCAUACGACCUACGGUGAAAGCAGGGGAUCUUCGGACCUUGCGCGAUUGAAUGAGCCGAUGUCGGAUUAGCUAGUUGGCGGGGUAAAGGCCCACCAAGGCGACGAUCCGUAGCUGGUCUGAGAGGAUGAUCAGCCACACUGGAACUGAGACACGGUCCAGACUCCUACGGGAGGCAGCAGUGGGGAAUAUUGGACAAUGGCGGCAAGCCUGAUCCAGCCAUA